AUACGGAGGACGCGAGCGUUAUCCGGAUUCAUUGGGUUUAAAGGGUGCGCAGGCGGCCGUGCAAGUCAGCGGUGAAAGCCCGGGGCUCAACCCCGGAAGUGCCGUUGAUACUGCAUGGCUGGAAUGCGGUCGAGGCGGGCGGGAAGUGGCGUGUAGCGGGGAAAUGCGUAGAUAUGCCACAGAACGCCGAUGGCGGAGGCGGCUCGCCAGGCCUGCAUUGACGCUCGGGCACGAAAGCGUGGGGAUCGAACAGGAUUAGAUACCCUGGUAGUCCACGCCGUAAACGAUGGGCGCUCGUCGUCGGCGGCAGACAGUCGGCGGCCAAGCGAAAGCGAUAAGCGCCCCACCUGGGGAGUACGGUCGCAAGGCUGAAACUCAAAUGAAUUGACGGGG
This 393-nucleotide ribosomal RNA is filed under the name uncultured bacterium. RNAcentral describes it as "partial 16S ribosomal RNA". It matches the Rfam family "Bacterial small subunit ribosomal RNA", at positions 523 to 918 of the family's 1533-position model. The record is from RNAcentral.